AAACAUAUUUAAUAGAAUAUUAUUAUUAAUUUAUCCUGCUCAAUGACAAUUUAAAUAGCCGCAGUUCAUACUGUGCUAAGGUAGCAUAAUCAUUUGUCUUAUAAUUAAAGACUAGAAUGAAAGGAGAUACAUUUAAGUUAUUGUAACAUUAUCUUAUUUUAAAUUUAUUUUAAAUGUAAAAAAACAUUUAUUCUUCAGAAAGACGAAAAGACCCUAUUGAACUUUACUUUAGUUUAACUGGGGUAGUUAAUUAAUUAAAAUUUUAAUUUUAAUUAAAUUUACAAUGACCUGAUCUAAUCAAUUUUAUAAUUAAGUUACCAUAGGGAUAACAGCGCAAUAAUUUUUAUUAGCUCUUAUAUAAAAAAAUGAUUACGACCUCGAUGUUGAAUUAAUUAAUCUGAUAAAUGCAACCAUUUAAAUAGAGAGUCUGUUCGACUUUUAAAUAAUUACAUGAUC
Molecule: ribosomal RNA, 456 nt
Filed under: Delena melanochelis
Lineage: Eukaryota; Metazoa; Arthropoda; Arachnida; Araneae; Sparassidae
Description: partial 16S ribosomal RNA
Rfam family: Bacterial large subunit ribosomal RNA
Source: RNAcentral